GUGUCAGCAGCCGCGGUAAUACGUAGGCAGCAAGCGUUGUUCGGAAUUACUGGGCGUAAAGAGUGUGUAGGCGGUUUUGUAAGUUCGGUGUGAAAUCUCCCGGCUUAACUGGGAGGGUGCGCCGGAUACUGCAAGGCUUGAGUGCCGGAGAGGAAGGCGGAAUUCCUGGUGUAGCGGUGAAAUGCGUAGAUAUCAGGAGGAACACCGGUGGUGUAGACGGCCUUCUGGACGGCCACUGACGCUGAGACACGAAAGCGUGGGGAGCAAACAGGAUUAGAAACCCCAGUAGUCC
This 292-nucleotide ribosomal RNA is filed under the name uncultured bacterium. RNAcentral describes it as "partial 16S ribosomal RNA". It matches the Rfam family "Bacterial small subunit ribosomal RNA", at positions 505 to 796 of the family's 1533-position model. The record is from RNAcentral.